Molecule: ribosomal RNA, 422 nt
Filed under: uncultured archaeon
Lineage: Archaea
Description: partial 16S ribosomal RNA
Rfam family: Archaeal small subunit ribosomal RNA
Source: RNAcentral
CUACGGGGGGCAGCAGGCGCGAAACCUUUACAAUGCACGAAAGUGUGAUAAGGGGAUCCCAAGUGCUUAUACAUUGUAUAGGCUUUUUUCGAUGGUAAAUACAUUGGAGAAUAAGUGGUGGGAAAGACUGGUGCCAGCAGCCGCGGUAACACCAGCGCCGCAAGUGGCAAUCACAUUUAUUUGGCCUAAAGCGUCCGUAGCAGGUUUGAUAAAUCCUUCGUGAAAUCGUUGGGCCUAACCUAACGUCGUGCAGGGGAGACUGUCAGACUAGAGACCGGGAGAAGUCAGAGGAAUUUCAGAGGGAGUGGUAAAAUAUUAUAAUCUCUGAAAGACCACCUGUGGCGAAGGCGUCUGACUAGAACGGAUCUGACUGUGAGGGACGAAAGCUAGGGGAGCAAACCGGAUUAGAUACCCGAGUAGUC